Molecule: ribosomal RNA, 649 nt
Filed under: uncultured bacterium
Lineage: Bacteria
Description: bacterial SSU rRNA
Rfam family: Bacterial small subunit ribosomal RNA
Source: RNAcentral
GGAUGGGUGAGUACCACGUGGGUAACCUGCCCUAAAGUCUGGGAUACCACUUGGAAACAGGUGCUAAUACCGGAUAACAACAAUAGCUGCAUGGCUAUUGCUUAAAAGGCGGCGAAAGCUGUCGCUAAAGGAUGGACCCGCGGUGCAUUAGCUAGUUGGUAAGGUAAUGGCUUACCAAGGCGACGAUGCAUAGCCGAGUUGAGAGACUGAUCGGCCACAUUGGGACUGAGACACGGCCCAAACUCCUACGGGAGGCAGCAGUAGGGAAUCUUCCACAAUGGGCGAAAGCCUGAUGGAGCAACGCCGCGUGAGUGAAGAAGGUUUUCGGAUCGUAAAGCUCUGUUGUUGGUGAAGAAGGAUAGAGGUAGUAACUGGCCCCUAUUUGACGGUAAUCAACCAGAAAGUCACGGCUAACUACGUGCCAGCAGCCGCGGUAAUACGUAGGUGGCAAGCGUUGUCCGGAUUUAUUGGGCGUAAAGCGAGCGCAGGCGGAAAGAUAAGUCUGAUGUGAAAGCCCCCGGCUUAACCGAGGAAUUGCAUCGGAAACUGUGUUUCUUGAGUGCAAAAGAGGAGAGUGGAACUCCAUGUGUAGCGGUGGAAUGCGUAGAUAUAUGGAAGAACACCAGUGGCGAAGGCGGCUCUCUGGUCU